This 253-nucleotide ribosomal RNA is filed under the name uncultured bacterium. RNAcentral describes it as "partial 16S ribosomal RNA". It matches the Rfam family "Bacterial small subunit ribosomal RNA", at positions 524 to 776 of the family's 1533-position model. The record is from RNAcentral.
UACGAAGGGGGCUAGCGUUGUUCGGAAUUACUGGGCGUAAAGCGUGCGCAGGCGGCUUCUCAAGUCAGGGGCGAAAGCCCAGAGCUCAACUCUGGAAUUGCCUUUGAGACUGAGUGGCUUGAGUACGAGAGAGGUGAGUGGAAUUCCCAGUGUAGAGGUGAAAUUCGUAGAUAUUGGGAAGAACACCGGUGGCGAAGGCGGCUCACUGGCUCGUAACUGACGCUCAUGCACGACAGCGUGGGGAUCAAACAGG